Molecule: ribosomal RNA, 515 nt
Filed under: uncultured bacterium
Lineage: Bacteria
Description: bacterial SSU rRNA
Rfam family: Bacterial small subunit ribosomal RNA
Source: RNAcentral
CUCGGGAGAGCAAAGCUCCGGCGCCUGAGGCGGGGCCUACGUGAUAUUACCUAGUUGGCGGGGUAACGGCCCACCAAGGGGGAGAUGUCUAGCGGGUGUGAGAGCACGACCCGCGCCACUCGCACUGAGACACUGGCGAGACACCUACGGGUGGCUGCAGUCGAGGAUCUUCGGCAAUGGGGGCAACCCUGACCGAGCGAUGCCGCGUGGGCGACGAAGGCCUUCGGGUUGUAAAGCCCUGUCGAGGGGGAGAAAGCCGCAAGGCGGAUCCAUCCCUGGAGGAAGCUCGGGCUAAGUUCGUGCCAGCAGCCGCGGUAAGACGAACCGAGCGAACGUUGUUCGGAAUCACUGGGCUUAAAGGGCGCGUAGGCGGGCUGCCGCGUCCGGGGUGAAAUCCCACGGCUCAACCGUGGAACGGCCCCGGGUACGGGCGGCCUCGAGGGGGAUAGGGGCGGAACUGUGGGUGGAGCGGUGAAAUGCGUUGAUAUCCACAGGAACUCCGGUGGCGAAGGCGG